GAGCGCCGUAUCAUACGGAGCGGCAGACGGGUAGAGUAACACGUAGGGAACGUGCCCUUCAUUUCGGAACAACCCACGAAAACUUGGGCUAGUACCGGAUACGUCCGUAAGGAGAAAGAUUUAUCGCUGAAGGAUCGGCCCGCGUCUGAUUAGCUUGUUGGUGAGGUAACGGGUCACCAAUGCGACGAUCAGUAGCUGGUCUGAUAGGAUGAUCAGGGCUCACUGGGACUGAGACACGGCCCAGACUCCUACGGGAGGCAGCAGUGGGGAAUAUUGGACAAUGGGCGCAAGCCUGAUCCAACCAUGCCGCGUGGGUGAUGAAUGCCUUACGGUUGUGUAGCCCUUUCGGUGGGGAAGAUAAUGACGGUACCCGCAUAAGAAGCCCCGGGUAACUUCGUG
RNAcentral lists this ribosomal RNA (399 nucleotides) under uncultured bacterium. RNAcentral's name for it is "bacterial SSU rRNA". It matches the Rfam family "Bacterial small subunit ribosomal RNA", at positions 64 to 507 of the family's 1533-position model. The record is from RNAcentral.